This is an RNA transcript of Hevea brasiliensis (rubber tree), 2127 nucleotides long. It is a transcript of the gene named ABC transporter I family member 11, chloroplastic, with no coding region annotated. The transcript is spliced from 12 exons. NCBI's taxonomy places the organism in Eukaryota, Viridiplantae, Streptophyta, Magnoliopsida, Malpighiales, Euphorbiaceae. The record is from RefSeq and is a predicted model, not a curated record.
GCAAAUCUGGUGGAAUUAUUUCAACGGAACCAACCAAGCCUAUUCGCUUGUUGAAAAUUGAAACUCCCAAAACUCAUUUCCCUCGGUCACCGUAACUGAAACUCCGGCCACCUAGAUGGCCACCUCCACUUCGUCAGUAUUUUUCGUAAUUAAUCAGAGACCAAUUCAAUCACCAGCUCCGUUCUCUCCCAAAUCAUGCUACAGGAAAUUGAGUUUCAAGAGGCUUCAUCAAUCUCACCGAGUUUCCUGCGAUUACUCUUGCGUCGAAGUUAGGGGUGUUAGCUAUAGGCCUCCGGGAACCCAGCUCAACCUUCUAAAUGAAGUUAGUUUUUCUCUUCCAGAGAAGAGUUUUGGAUUGAUUUUUGGACAGAGUGGGAGCGGUAAAACUACUCUCUUGCAGCUUCUUGCUGGGCUAAGUGAACCAACAUCAGGUUCCAUUGGCAUUCAAAGAUAUGGGAAUGAUGGCAAUCCAUGUCAUUCUCCUGAACCACUACCUCCAGAAAAAGUUGGUAUUGUCUUUCAGUUUCCGGAGAGGUAUUUUGUGGCAGAUACUAUACUCAAUGAAGUUAUUUUUGGAUGGCCAAGGCUAAAGGGCAGCCUUCAAUUGAAGGAGCGUCUUGCUCUGAAUCUUCAGAAAGCUAUUACUUGGGUUGGAUUAAAUGGCAUCUCCCUGGAAAAAGAUCCUCACUCCCUUAGUGGUGGCUACAAACGUAGGCUUGCUUUGGCUAUCCAAUUAGUACAAGUUCCUGAUCUGUUAAUUCUGGAUGAACCUCUUGCUGGUCUUGAUUGGAAGGCUCGAGCGGAUGUCAUAAAUCUUUUAAAGCAGCUGAAGAAAGAAUUAACUGUUCUUGUUGUCAGUCAUGACCUCAAAGAGCUAGCAGCUCUAGUUGAUCAUUCUUGGAGGAUGGAAAUGGGUGGAUAUCUCAAAGAAGAGCUGCUUCCCAUAUAGCAUGGGAGUCUACUAUUGCUACCAUAUCAACAUUAGAGGCUACAAGUAUUCCCCAUUUCCAUUGGAGUUCCCAUUUCCAUUGGAGUUACUUUCACUUAGACCAUACUGGGAUAGUUUCAAGUUGUUCUUUUCGCAUUGUAUCCCUUCCAUUGACUUGCAUCCUGGAAGAAAUUUUCUGUUGUCUUCGUCCCAGUGCACCAGAGUUGGCAGCAUCAUUGGAAGAAGAAGGAGCAGGAUUUCUUGAAGCAUGAAACUUUCCAAGUAUCUUUCUGAUGAGGUGUUUAGCAGAUUUAUGUGCUUCCUUGGCAUGCAUCUCUCUUGUCCCUUCAGUUCCUUUGGAAGAUUCGUCUAAAAUCUUUGUCCUACGAAACAGCUCCCUGAGAGAUACUUUUUCCUUCUUUAAUUCAAUUGUUGUUUCUUGCAGUUCUAUUGAUGAACCAAAUAGAUAUCCUUGAAGUGGACAUAGUGCAGUGUUUCUAUAAUCAUCAGCAUUGGCUCCCUCUGUUUGUAUGCCGCUGAGUGUAAUAUUGCUUACGUAACUGCUCCUCGCCAAUGAUUCAUUGCAACCUUCUUCAGCUUCAGCAUCAAUAAACUUUUCUAUUUCAUUGUUGAUGAGCUUCAAGUCGUUCUCUUUUGCCUCUAUUUUUUCAUCUGCUAUGUUCUCCAAAGACAUGGGAAAUGUUGGCGUUGCUGGUUCACUGUUGACUUGUUUUGAACCAAGAGUUCCAAUUGCAAGGAAACCAUGAAAAAGCUCAGGCAUGGCACUAGAUGUUUGAUCUUCUUGAUUACCUUCUGCUUUCUUGGCUUCAACUUCGGAUAAAGCAUUGUCAGAUACCUCAUGUCUGGAGUCAAACCUUGGUCUUAUAUAGGAGACUUUGUCAUCAACGGGGGACUUUGCUGAAAGGCAAACACAAUAGUUCCCUGAAGACAGAGUAUUGAGAAGAAUGAAGACAACAUGGGAAGCAAGCAUUUUAUUGGAGUGUUUAAGCAAGCAAUAAUAGCAUUCAUUGUCACUUGAUUUCUACCUUUACGAUUGUGUAUCAUUAUAGUGACUAAGCAACUCUCAGACGAAUGAACAUGGUAGGUUAGAGAAUCAUUUAGUUAAACAACAAUGCGGUAGUACUGUACAUGACACAUUAUUUGAAUUACAAGGUGGAUGCUAUAUAUGUUCUUAUCUA